Molecule: transfer RNA, 73 nt
Filed under: Agrilus planipennis (emerald ash borer)
Lineage: Eukaryota; Metazoa; Arthropoda; Insecta; Coleoptera; Buprestidae
Rfam family: tRNA
About the family: Transfer RNA (tRNA) molecules are approximately 80 nucleotides in length. Their secondary structure includes four short double-helical elements and three loops (D, anti-codon, and T loops).
Source: Rfam by way of RNAcentral
UCUCUUCUAGCUUAGUGGUUAGAGCAUUGGUGCAUAAAGCCAAAGAUCCCGGGUUCAAUACUCGGCGAGGGCA